UUUAUUGGAGAGUUUGAUCCUGGCUCAGGACGAACGCUGGCGGCAUGCCUAAUACAUGCAAGUCGAGCGGACUUGAAGAGAAGCUUGCUUCUCGGAUGGUUAGCGGCGGACGGGUGAGUAACACGUAGGCAACCUGCCCUCAAGUUUGGGACAACUACCGGAAACGGUAGCUAAUACCGAAUAGUUGUUUUCUUCGCCUGAAGGAAACUGGAAAGACGGAGAAAUCUGUCACUUGGGGAUGGGCCUGCGGCGCAUUAGCUAGUUGGUGAGGUAACGGCUCACCAAGGCGACGAUGCGUAGCCGACCUGAGAGGGUGAUCGGCCACACUGGGA
RNAcentral lists this ribosomal RNA (332 nucleotides) under Paenibacillus sp. BGI2013. RNAcentral's name for it is "bacterial SSU rRNA". It matches the Rfam family "Bacterial small subunit ribosomal RNA", at positions 1 to 318 of the family's 1533-position model. The record is from RNAcentral. Lineage: Bacteria; Bacillati; Bacillota; Bacilli; Caryophanales; Paenibacillaceae.